AAGGGAGAGUAACGCGUGGAUUAUCUGCCCUCAGGACUGGGAUAGCCAGGGGAAACCCUGGGUAAUACCGGAUAAUGUCUCCGGACCAAAGGUGAAAGUCCGCCUGGGGAUGAGUCCGCGUCCUAUUAGCUUGUUGGUGAGGUAACGGCUCACCAAGGCAAAGAUGGGUACGGGGUGUGAGAGCAUGCCCCCGCUCACUGGGACUGAGACACUGCCCAGACACCUACGGGUGGCUGCAGUCGAGAAUCUUCGGCAAUGGGCGCAAGCCUGACCGAGCGACGCCGCGUGUGGGAUGAAGGCCUUCGGGUUGUAAACCGCUGUCGGAGGGGAGGAAAUCAGUAGGGGUACACCCCUAUUGUUGACCUAUCCUCAAAGGAAGGACGGGCUAAGUUCGUGCCAGCAGCCGCGGUAAGACGAACCGUCCAAACGUUAUUCGGAAUCACUGGGCUUAAAGGGUGCGUAGGCGGCCCUGAAAGUUGGGUGUGAAAUCCCUCGGCUCAACCGAGGAACUGCGCCCAAAACUACAGGGCUUGAGGGAGACAGAGGUGAGCGGAACUUGCGGUGGAGCGGUGAAAUGCGUUGA
RNAcentral lists this ribosomal RNA (583 nucleotides) under uncultured bacterium. RNAcentral's name for it is "bacterial SSU rRNA". It matches the Rfam family "Bacterial small subunit ribosomal RNA", at positions 102 to 694 of the family's 1533-position model. The record is from RNAcentral.